CCUACGGGGGGCAGCAGUGAGGAAUAUUGGUCAAUGGACGGAAGUCUGAACCAGCCAUGCCGCGUGCAGGAAGACGGCCCUAUGAGUUGUAAACUGCUUUUGUACAAGGGUAAACCUGAAUACGUGUAUUCAGCUGAAAGUAAUGUACGAAUAAGGAUCGGCUAACUCCGUGCCAGCAGCCGCGGGAAUACGGAGGAUCCAAGCGUUAUCCGGAUUUAUUGGGUUUAAAGGGUGCGUAGGCGGAUUGAUAAGUUAGUGGUGAAAUGUCCGGGCUUAAAUCGGGAACUGCCUCUAAUACUGUUGAUCUAGAGAGUAGAUGCGGUAGGCGGAAUGUAUGGUGUAGCGGUGAAAUGCUUAGAGAUCAUACAGAACACCGAUUGCGAAGGCAGCUUACCAAUCUAUAUCUGACGUUGAGGCACGAAAGCGUGGGGAGCGAACAGGAUUAGAUACCCUUGUAGUC
RNAcentral lists this ribosomal RNA (460 nucleotides) under uncultured bacterium. RNAcentral describes it as "partial 16S ribosomal RNA". It matches the Rfam family "Bacterial small subunit ribosomal RNA", at positions 338 to 795 of the family's 1533-position model. The record is from RNAcentral.